UGUCCAUGGAAUUGGAUGCAGAAAAUUGGAUUAGAUAAGUAUAUCUAUGUGUUUAGUUUUGUUUUGUCUGAUUUUAGUUUUUGUCUUUUCUUUUGCAGGUCCAGAUUGUCCAGGAUUUUAAAUUUGUCCAGUGGGAUUUGGAAAGGAAAGCGAUGCCAUGGAUUUAUAAGAAGCAUCGUUGGGGAGGUUCAUGUAUGUCGGUAGGGAUAUUUUCAUUAUACCACUACUAUUAUAAAGAGGUCGAAUUUGAGGGUCACCAUUUUGGCCUUUUGCCGGGCCGGCAGCACCACACCCAGAAUUCAGAAGGGCGAGGGGGCAUUCCGACAUGGAAACGGCAUCAAAACAUUAUACGUUUUUAAUGUUUUAGGUGCCAAAGACAUCGUAUUCUGUUGCGUCUAGUAGGGAUAUUGUAGUUGCUACCGGGAAAAAAGUUGAAUUCAGGGGUCACGAUUUUGACCUUUUGCCGGGUCGGCAGCGCCGCACCAAGGGUCAAUAAAAUCGAGGGUGCUUCUUGACAUGGGGACGGCAUCGAAACUUUGUGCAUUUUUAUAUAUAUUAUUAUAUAUUACACUGUUAUGUGUUUUGAUUAAAUUAUUACAAUCUUUAACGGAGAUUUCGUCAAUAUUGCAUUUCUGAGGGAAAAAAGUCAGUUUUAGAGGUUUCUAUUUCGACCUUUUGCCGGGUCGGCGGCACCACUCCUAGGGUCUGUAAAAACGUGGGGGAAUCCCAAAUAAGGAGACUGCGUCAAAACAUUGCCUGUUUUUUGUGUUCUAAGUGUCAAAAAGUUGGUUUGUCCAUUACGCCAAGUCGGGUCGUCUUUUGUCAUCGAGUACAGCUUUCGGGGAGAUUGCCGCUGAUUGUUUCAGGACCUUACAAAGGAUCUACAGCAAAAGGAUCUGCAGCAAAAGGUUCAGAUAAGUGAC
Molecule: long non-coding RNA, 923 nt
Organism: Drosophila santomea
Lineage: Eukaryota; Metazoa; Arthropoda; Insecta; Diptera; Drosophilidae
Exons: 3
Source: RefSeq, a predicted model, not a curated record